Molecule: ribosomal RNA, 375 nt
Filed under: uncultured bacterium
Lineage: Bacteria
Description: bacterial SSU rRNA
Rfam family: Bacterial small subunit ribosomal RNA
Source: RNAcentral
UAAUACAGAGGGUGCGAGCGUUAAUCGGAGUAACUGGGCGUAAAGGGCGCGUAGGCGGUGAUGUGAGUGUGAUGUGAAAGCCCCGGGCUUAACCUGGGAAGUGCAUCGCAAACGACAUGACUGGAGUAGAUGAGAGGGUGGCGGAAUUUCCGGUGUAGCGGUGAAAUGCGUAGAGAUCGGAAGGAACGUCGAUGGCGAAGGCAGCCACCUGGCAUCAUACUGACGCUGAGGCGCGAAAGCGUGGGGAGCGAACAGGAUUAGAUACCCUGGUAGUCCACGCUGUAAACGAUGAGUACUAAAGGUUGGUAGGGGAACCUAUCAGUCUUGAAGCUAACGCGAUAAGUAUUCCGCCUGGGAAGUACGGCCGCAAGGUUG